RNAcentral lists this ribosomal RNA (253 nucleotides) under uncultured bacterium. RNAcentral's name for it is "partial 16S ribosomal RNA". It matches the Rfam family "Bacterial small subunit ribosomal RNA", at positions 524 to 776 of the family's 1533-position model. The record is from RNAcentral.
UACAGAGGUCCCAAGCGUUGUUCGGAUUCACUGGGCGUAAAGGGUGCGUAGGCGGUUCUGAAAGUCUGAUGUGAAAUCUCCAGGCCCAACCUGGAAACGGCAUUAGAAACUACAGGGCUAGAGGCUUGGAGGGGGAACUGGAAUGCUCGGUGUAGCAGUGAAAUGCGUAGAGAUCGAGCGGAACACCAGUGGCGAAGGCGAGUUCCUGGACAAGUCCUGACGCUGAGGCACGAAAGCCAGGGGAGCAAACAGG